Molecule: non-coding RNA, 23 nt
Filed under: Cricetulus griseus (Chinese hamster)
Lineage: Eukaryota; Metazoa; Chordata; Mammalia; Rodentia; Cricetidae
Source: RNAcentral
AAUCCACUGAGUGUGAUCACUGA